GUGGUAAUUCUAGAGCUAAUACAUGCACCAAAGCUCUGACUUGAUGGGACGAGCGCAUUUAUUAGACCAAAACCAAUCGGGCUUUGGCCCGUUUGUUGGUGACUCUGAAUAACUCCGCAGAUCGCACGGUCUCGCACCGGCGACAUAUCUUUCAAGUGUCUGCCUUAUCAACUGUCGAUGGUAGUUUAUGUGCCUACCAUGGUUGUAACGGGCCCGGAUUUUCAGGGAACGACUCCGGAGAGGGAGCCUUAGAGAUAGCUACCACAUCCAAGGAAGGCAGCAGGCGCGCAAAUUACACACUCUCAGCACGAGGAUGUAGUGACGAAAAAUAACGAGGCGGAUCUCUUUGAGUUCCGUUAUCGGAAUGAGAACAAUUCAAAUCCUUUAACGAGGAUCUAGCGGAGGGCAAGUCUGGUGCCAGCAGCCGCGGUAAUUCCAGCUCCGCAGGUGUAUAUCUAUGCUGCUGCGGUUAAAAAGCUCGUAGUUGGAUCUGCGUGCUCGGAACCGGUUGGCUCAUUGAGUUCAAACUGGUCUCCGGCGCUUUGUUGGCUGGUUUUCCCUUGAUGCUCUUAACCGGGUGUCUUGGGUGGCUAGCGAGUUUACUUUGAAAAAAUUAGAGUGCUCAAUACAGGCGCAAGGCCUUGAAUAGUGGUGCAUGGAAUAAUAGAAUAGGACCUCGGUUCUAUUUUGUUGGUUUUCGGAAUGCGAGGUAAUGAUUAAGAGGGACAGACGGGGGCAUUCGUA
This 744-nucleotide ribosomal RNA is filed under the name Dorylaimopsis punctata. Its description in RNAcentral is "bacterial SSU rRNA". It matches the Rfam family "Eukaryotic small subunit ribosomal RNA", at positions 149 to 896 of the family's 1831-position model. The record is from RNAcentral. Lineage: Eukaryota; Metazoa; Nematoda; Chromadorea; Araeolaimida; Comesomatidae.